AUGGGCACCAGGUUCCUCUGCUGGGUCAUCCUCUGUCUCCUGGGGACAGAUCACACUGGAGCUGGUGUCACCCAGACUCCCAGAAACAUAGUCACAAAGAGUGGACAGGAUGUAGUUCUCAGGUGUGAUCCAAUUUCUGGUCAUCUUACACUUUACUGGUACCAACAGGCCCUAAGCCAGGGCCUGCAGUUUUUGAUGUACUUCCAAAGCAAAGAAUUGGGAGACACAUCAGGGAUGCCUCAACAACGGUUCUCUGUGAAGAGGCCUGAGGGAACCUACUCCACCCUGACGAUUGAGCGCGUGGAGCCUGGGGACUCAGCGGUGUAUCUCUGUGCCAGCAGUGUAGCCACAGUGUGA
Non-coding RNA from Suncus etruscus (white-toothed pygmy shrew), 357 nucleotides. Lineage: Eukaryota; Metazoa; Chordata; Mammalia; Eulipotyphla; Soricidae. The record is from the annotation of a RefSeq genome assembly.